UACGUAGGGGGCAAGCGUUGUCCGGAAUCAUUGGGCGUAAAGAGCGCGUAGGCGGCCCAGUAAGUCCGCUCUGAAAGUCAGGGGCUCAACCCCUGAAUGCGGGUGGAUACUGCUGGGCUAGAGUAUGGGAGAGGGCAGUGGAAUUCCCGGUGUAGCGGUGAAAUGCGUAGAUAUCGAGAGGAACACCUGCGGCGAAGGCGGGUUGCUGGGCUGACACUGACGCUGACAGCGCGAAAGCUAGGGGAGCGAACGGG
Molecule: ribosomal RNA, 254 nt
Filed under: uncultured bacterium
Lineage: Bacteria
Description: partial 16S ribosomal RNA
Rfam family: Bacterial small subunit ribosomal RNA
Source: RNAcentral